RNAcentral lists this ribosomal RNA (497 nucleotides) under uncultured bacterium. Its description in RNAcentral is "partial 16S ribosomal RNA". It matches the Rfam family "Bacterial small subunit ribosomal RNA", at positions 28 to 507 of the family's 1533-position model. The record is from RNAcentral.
GAUGAACGCUGGCGGCGUGCCUAGUACAUGCAAGUCGAGCGAACAGAUAAGGAGCUUGCUCCUUUGACGUUAGCGGCGGACGGGUGAGUAACACGUGGAUAACCUACCUAUAAGACCGGGAUAACUUCGGGAAACCGGAGCUAAUACCGGAUAACAUAUUGAACCGCAUGGUUCAAUAGUGAAAGGCGGCUUUGCUGUCACUUAUAGAUGGAUCCGCGCCGUAUUAGCUAGUUGGUAAGGUAACGGCUUACCAAGGCAACGAUACGUAGCCGACCUGAGAGGGUGAUCGGCCACACUGGAACUGAGACACGGUCCAGACUCCUACGGGAGGCAGCAGUAGGGAAUCUUCCGCAAUGGGCGAAAGCCUGACGGAGCAACGCCGCGUGAGUGAUGAAGGUCUUCGGAUCGUAAAACUCUGUUAUCAGGGAAGAACAAAUGUGUAAGUAACUGUGCACAUCUUGACGGUACCUGAUCAGAAAGCCACGGCUAACUACGUG